AUCCAGGACCAGAAAUGGACCGUGGUAAGGGAAAAGCACCAUGAGGACUGCGGCCAUGGGAAGAUGUGUGGUGAUUGGGUUGAUUCUGAAAUUUGUGUAAUUAUUGUAGCCUAUUGUGCAACUUGUGAACUUAUGCGAUUCUAGUGUGUGAUCUACUUAUUAGGAUGAUGAAUGAUGUAUGAACCUUGGUUAUUAUCUAUG
RNAcentral lists this long non-coding RNA (201 nucleotides) under Brassica napus (rape). RNAcentral describes it as "long non-coding RNA (BNAP_LNC013248)". Lineage: Eukaryota; Viridiplantae; Streptophyta; Magnoliopsida; Brassicales; Brassicaceae. The record is from RNAcentral.